UGGGGAAUCUUGCACAAUGGGGGCAACCCUGAUGCAGCGACGCCGCGUGAGCGAUGAAGCCCUUCGGGGUGUAAAGCUCUUUCGGCAGGGAAGAUAAUGACGGUACCUGCAGAAUCAGCUGCGGCUAACUACGUGCCAGCAGCCGCGGUAAUACGUAGGCAGCGAGCGUUGUUCGGAGUUACUGGGCGUAAAGGGUGUGUAGGCGGUGCUCUAAGUGUGGUGUGAAAUCUCCCGGCUCAACUGGGAGGGUGUGCUACGAACUGGAGUGCUCGAGUGCGGGAUGGGAGAGUGGAAUUCCUGGUGUAGCGGUGAAAUGCGUAGAUAUCAGGAGGAACACCGGUGGUGUAGACGGCUCUCUGGACCGCAACUGACGCUGAGACACGAAAGCGUGGGUAGCAAACAGGAUUAGAUACCCCCGUAGUCCCUGAGCGGGCUGGCAAGGCGCAU
RNAcentral lists this ribosomal RNA (447 nucleotides) under uncultured bacterium. Its description in RNAcentral is "bacterial SSU rRNA". It matches the Rfam family "Bacterial small subunit ribosomal RNA", at positions 355 to 825 of the family's 1533-position model. The record is from RNAcentral.